GUGGGGAAUUGUUCGCAAUGGGCGCAAGCCUGACGACGCAACGCCGCGUGGAGGAUGAAGGUCUUCGGAUUGUAAACUCCUGUUGAUUGGGACGAAUGUCUCUGGGGCUAACACCACCAGGGAGUGACGGUACCGAUUGAGGAAGCCCCGGCUAACUCUGUGCCAGCAGCCGCGGUAAUACAGAGGGGGCGAGCGUUGUUCGGAAUUACUGGGCGUAAAGGGCGCGUAGGUGGCCGCCUAAGUCAGACGUGAAAUCCCUCGGCUCAACCGGGGAACUGCGUCUGAUACUGGGUGGCUUGAAUCCGGGAGAGGGAUGUGGAAUUCCAGGUGUAGCGGUGAAAUGCGUAGAUAUCUGGAGGAACACCGGUGGCGAAGGCGGCAUCCUGGACCGGUAUUGACGCUGAGGCGCGAAAGCCAGGGGAGCAAACGGGAUUAGAAACCCCAGUAGUCC
This 451-nucleotide ribosomal RNA is filed under the name uncultured bacterium. RNAcentral's name for it is "bacterial SSU rRNA". It matches the Rfam family "Bacterial small subunit ribosomal RNA", at positions 354 to 796 of the family's 1533-position model. The record is from RNAcentral.